AUGAACUUCACUCUUGCUUGCACUUGUAAUUCUACAACGUGUUUUGUUGAUAUUUUUGCGUUCCUAAAUGUUUGUAUAAAUCUGUGGAGAUGUAACAGGUUAAUUAAAUGUGAUGCUGAUCUUAAAAUAACUUUCCAAAGCCUGCAUGCCAAAUUCUUGGUAACCUCUGAAACCUGCUUACAAAAAUUUGAUAAGGGAGAGAGGAGAAAGGAUGGCUGUUUACAGUUAAGGAGACUGUGCUAUGAAGCUCACAGAAUGCCCAACUACAUAUGGGAUUAAAAGGAGUAAUUAUGUUUGCAUACUGGAAGACUUUAAUUUGAAGAACUUUGACCUAGGAUGUUGCCUAUAGAAUCAGUAUGGCAUAUCAAGGAGAGUGGGGGAAAGGGAGAGAAAUCACCAACAGGUUGAAGCAUUCUUUGUACAAGAACACCUUCGGAAGAUUCUUUCCCAAUCCCACUUCUUGUACGAGGAAGCAACUGUAGCAAAAAGCCUGGAUUUGUGAGCUUCCAUAGAAACAGUUUUAGAGGCUAUGUUGCAUUAUUCAUUAAUGUUGUGGAUAACAACUUCAACCUCAGGACUGUUGAGCCAGCACUUUCAAGAGCAGUAAAUUCCCUGAGGGAGGGAAGGAGAAAAAUUGUCCCUACCCUGAGGUUUGAAAAAUAGUCUUCACUACAGGAAGAGUUUGCUGAGGGGUUGUGUCUAAUGAGAAGAAAUUAUCUGAGAGGAUAAUCACCCCCUGCAACAGUUUUGGAAACCUGAAGCUCCCUAGAAGACUGCUAUAGAGAUUUUUUUCGUAUUCUUCCAUCCCCUGACGGGCACCUGCUGAAUCUUUGUGAGAUCCUGAAAAGGGGAAUUGGUGCUGUGGAAACAUUAUUUCUUUCUUUCUUUUUCUACCUGAUAUGCCUAUGGGAAAAAGAGAAACAGUGUCUUCCUUAUGGACAAUAUCGUGUAUGCAAACCAGAACACAAAAUUUGAAAUGAGUAUUUAGAGAGGCAGUGAGAAACAAGACAGGAUUAAAACUCCCUAAACUCUUCUAUUCAGCUGAUAUCUUCAGCUUAUAUUGAUUAUAAAAUUUUGUGGUUUGUUUUGGGAGGGACAGCAAGAGAGGUUAACUAAUAUUUAUCUGUCCCAGUUAUUAGUCCUUAGGAGUAUAUAGUAUGUUCCAGUCUUCUCAGUCUUGCAAAAAUUUUCUUUUGAAUGACAGUAACAGUUUUGUUUCUUGUUAAUAAUGUUUUUACUGCACUUACGGUGAUUUGGCCGUGAUAUCCUCAGAGAUACCUUGUUUGAUGUUCUUGUUCAAAAUUUGUAACACAGGGCAUCUGAUAACUUUUGUGAAAGUUUUACUUUAAUAUAUUAAAAGAGAGAAAAAAUAAAUUCUCAGUUUUCAGGGCUAA
This is a long non-coding RNA of Anas platyrhynchos (mallard), 1394 nucleotides long. RefSeq lists it as uncharacterized. Lineage: Eukaryota; Metazoa; Chordata; Aves; Anseriformes; Anatidae. The record is from RefSeq and is a predicted model, not a curated record.